CCCCGCUGCGCCGCGGGGGCCCGGGGACGUCUCGCUUCAUCUGUCACCAGCUCUGUUCGCCUGCCCAGCUGUCAAAACAGGGGGUGUCUUUUUCAUUCCAGCUCACAAAGUACCAAAGGGGAAAGGGGCUUUAAUGCCUGUGUUUGGACACAAGCAAUUAUCCCUAAUUAUUGUUUUUCUUUUGAGCCUGCCCGUCCUGCUGGAGAGCCAGCAGAUGAGCAUGCCCUAAUCCUCCCCAGUCGGUUGAUCUCAGUGGGUUUUGCGGGACAAGCCGGGCGAGAAGGCUUCGUAGCUUUCAUCUCGAUGUGAGUUUUGAACUGAUUGAAACUCAUUGCGAUGGAAGAAUUAACCUCGGAGCCCAGGCUUUCAAUGGCCCCUGAUAAGAGAUUAUACGUGUUGAUGGCAAGCUUUUCUUGGCAAAAUGUUUUCAAAGGACUCGGAGCUGUUAAAUCAAAGCCCUAUUGAAUUGCUGUGGAAGACUAAGGUCUAACAGAAGAAAACCUUUGAGGAAUUAGAGGCGGAGAUAAGUAUUUUCCAUUGGAAAGCCAGACCGCUCCAAGAUAAAUGCUGACAAGUCACCUGCUGCAGGAAAGUGUUGAGCUGGAGAAAAAAAUCUGCUGGCAGGCAAGAAGAGAUGUUUGGAUGGGCCAAAUCUUGUUCACUUAUUAUGCGGGGCCAUGGGACAGUGUUAUUAAAUUUAUGUGCUGAUAAAUAAAUACAUAAAUUAAUAAAUAAGUAAAAUAAUUUUAGGAGUCCUACUGACUGUAAAGUGUUUCCUUCUCCACUAUGCUAGUCUGUAGUGGUAAUGAAGGGGCAGUGGAAGCAGUGGCAAUAUGGAGAUGACAAACAGCUUGAUGGAUAAGAUAUCUGGAAACUGCCUUAGAGAGAGGAUAUCAGCACAGCCAGAAGCUGGAGUGCUGUAAACCCAGACAGCAACCUAUGGAGGUAGUAGAGCCAGCUGCCUCAGCUGAUGCUCCUGCCAAAGGUGGAGGCCUAGGUUCCAAGCUAUUCAAAGUGUGUGCUGCAUGCUGGUAGUCAUAGUUUUCAAAAUUUACUGUUUAUUGCAUUUGCUCUUUCUCUCCAAUAACACUCCUUAUAUUUAGA
Molecule: long non-coding RNA, 1104 nt
Organism: Cyanistes caeruleus (blue tit)
Lineage: Eukaryota; Metazoa; Chordata; Aves; Passeriformes; Paridae
Source: RefSeq, a predicted model, not a curated record